This 570-nucleotide long non-coding RNA is filed under the name Homo sapiens (human). RNAcentral describes it as "HSALNT0008588". Lineage: Eukaryota; Metazoa; Chordata; Mammalia; Primates; Hominidae. The record is from RNAcentral.
UGGCCCUCUUGUUGUUAGGAGUUUAGGCGGUGUCAACAAGAUGUAGGUGCUGAGAAAACUGCCUGACUGCUGUUGAUCUUUUACAGAUAAGAUAUCCCCAAUCUAUGAUGUCUCUUAAUGAAAUACAAUGGGUUUAGCACUGGAAUUUAUAGCUCCUUUCUGAUGUUCUCCAUGUAAUAUACGUUUCUGGGGUAUAAGUUGUUUAAGCUUCUCAUCCAUAAAAAAAGCUCGAGCUGAGCUUUUGCUCACCGUCCACCACUGCUGUUGGCCGCCAUCGCACACCUGCCACUGACUUCCACCCCUCUGGAUCCGGCUGGGUGUCUGCUGCACUCCUGAUCCAGCGAGGCGCCCACUGCCACUCCCAGUUGGGCUAAAGGCUCGCCAUUGUUCCUGCACAGCUAAGUGCCCGGGUUCAUCCUAAUCAAGCUGAACACUAGUUGCUGGGUUCUACGGUUCUCUUCUGUGACCCAUGGCUUCUAAUCAAGCUGUAACACUCACCACAUAGGCCCAAGGUUUCAUUCCUUGGAAUCUGUGAGGCCAGGAACCCCAGGUCAGAGAACAAAAGGCUUG